This is a long non-coding RNA of Pezoporus flaviventris, 3219 nucleotides long. RefSeq lists it as uncharacterized. The transcript is spliced from 4 exons. NCBI's taxonomy places the organism in Eukaryota, Metazoa, Chordata, Aves, Psittaciformes, Psittacidae. The record is from RefSeq and is a predicted model, not a curated record.
UUUGUUACUUAAGCUUUGCCUUUUCACUGAGUUUGAAUAGGACUUCAAAACCUCGUUAUUUGUUCUGAAAGGAAACCAAUCUGAGGGUUUAUGGAUACGGGCUUGUUGCCACCUUUAAUUCAGUUCCUGGUGGGAUGCUCUGGGAUUCUUUGUUUUCCUCAUCUUUUCUCCAGACAGCUAAUGUCUUAAGUUGCUGAAACCUGAUUUUAUGCAAACUGCUUCGCCAUUACUUGCAAAUGACUUACAAACUGUAAUGUAGCAAUAGGAUGAAGUGGAAUAUUUUCAUAUCUGGAUUAACUCUGUACUAGACUAUGAACUGAAUCACACCUGAAGAGAAAUAAGAGCUCCUGUGCAGAUGGACUUUGCUAAAGAUGAAGUGACAAGGAACAUCAGAGGAUUUUGGUUCUAACUUGUUAGUGCAUCCAUCUUCUGUUUGGGUUCCCUCUGAGUUCAGCUCUUUUAUCUGUUUUUCAGUUCACACAGAAAAGAGCCCUACUUUGAAACAUUCCAGGUUUGUUUAAGGAAAACAAUGCCCUAUGAACUAUUGCAAUUUUAAUUCCUUUCUAAGAAAAUAAUCUUUCUAACAUAUGUGAUUUGGGUAACAUUAAUUUUUGCUUACUCUCCCUUUUAAUGCAUGGAACUUUCUUUUCUAUUUAGUACAUGCAUGCAUCUGUCCCCUUUCCAUGUGUUGUAUGUCCUUUCAUUUCAUGCUUCUCUUUUGUAUCAGACCAGCUUUCAUCCAUUUUCCUUUCUCCCUAUGCUCAGCAACAUAUGUAUGCAUGCUUUUCUUUUAACCCAUCUGAGAGCCACAUGCUGUGCACCUGUCUCAGUCAAAUAUGCCUCCUGAGCCUGUGUUGCACAAGACAGAGCUGUUGACAAAGCUAACACCACACUGACAGUCCAGGAAAGAGUAGGGCAGGACCAGCUUUUACUCCUGGGCAGAAAAGCAGAUACUUUCUAGUAUACAGAGAAACGAAGUUCAGCGACUGGAGGAAAGAGUACAAAGCAGAAAGUGUGGCUUCUAAGCCUCUUUGUGCCAUCAAAUUUUCAAAAACCCUGUAAAAUAAGGCAAGAUCUUCUGUUAGUGCAUAUUGCCAUAAUUGGUGUAAUUUAGAAUAUCUCUACUAUUUUCACUUAAGCUGAGGAUUUAGCACAUUUUGACAGUCUCAGUGACAGAAUAUGUUAUAGAUAUUUGCUUGACAGAAUUUAUACAAUUUAGAAUUGGCUUGCUUGAUUAAUUCUUUGUGCUUGUGCCUGCCCCCUCCACCUACCAUGCUGAGGGCUCUGUCAUUUAGCAUGACUCCAUUAUAUUCAAUUGAGCAGAGGCUGCAGGAGGCCAGACACAUAUGUCCCAGGACCAUAUAAGUGCUAUUUAGCUGGAUGUACUCUGCAAAGCCAGAGGCACUCAAGAAUCUACAGAAACACUCACAUUAGUGACAUAAUACUGAGCGCCUGCACCAUGUUAUGUAAAUGUUCAUUGUGAUGAAGUGUAUGGUGUUUGUUCUCAGCUGGUUGUACUGUUGUAUGUGUAAAGUAGGUUGCUGUUGUUCGCAAUAAUUUACAGCUAAUAGUGUUGACAGUGUUCUUGACAAAGUUUAAAACAUGUUCAACUGCUGCUGUACUCUUACCACAAUUUUUUACUUUAUAGGACAACUUCCUUGACUUUCUGUAUGCCACUAGAGAGAAGAAUGGAAGGAGUUGUUUGAGGUAUACAAAAUUAAGGGAUGGGCACACAUCCAGGGAAUCUCAGAGGGAAAUAUGGGCAGUGUGCCAUGCACUGAACUUGCUACAUAUGCGCACAUCUGAUCUAGCACGCAUACGCUAUGCAGAUGGUUAGCAAUUGCACAGAUCAGCUCCACAAGGCAUGUCCAGAUCCCACUUACCCUGGGUGUCGGGAAAUCCUGGUCACAUGGCCAGCCUGUGAUUUCUCUCCUCUUUCUCCUUCCAGUCCUGAAAUUAUGUCUGAGGAGGGAGGAGAAGAAAAAGAGGACAUGCUGAGGAAGAAAGACAUACCAGGCUCUUGUUAACAUUAAACACAUUGAAAAUGGCUAGGUUACCAUAAACUAAGGAGCUUCAGGACCUCAGAUGAGCUAUAAUCUACUACUGUGUGUGUAUUUUUAGUUUGCUGUUGCAGUGUAAAAUGUAUUCACUUCACUUAAGCUAUGUCAUAAUAACUUGCUGUGAAUACUGAAAUAAAAUGCUAAUUCGAUACAGUUGGAAGAGAGCACAUGGCAAAUUACUGUAAUACCACUGAUGGCUGGUAACUCAUUUGCCUAUGGUAGCUUGAUCAGUUCUGAUCAAAUGCUUUUUCUCUUAAUCUACCUGCUCUUUACUAAUGGGCCUUCUCUAACUAAAACCUGCACAAAUUUUAAGUUCAAUUAAUUUAACUUUAUGAGUUAGAAUGUUUGUCUUAACCAAGUAAGCCAUAAUUAACCAUAAUUAGAAAUACAAUAUUUCUUAAAUCUUCUUCAUUAAUCAGAGAAACUUAUUUUUCUUCACAAGACUAAAGUUUAGUUUUUCUAAAUAAAAAUAUAAUUCAUUUUACCAAAACACUUCUGCCUAAACAAUCUAUUUGAUACUGUUUUAAAGUAUCAGUCUAAUUUUAGGUGGUCUGACUAUUCUCCCAUUGGUAGAUAGAUUUUUUUUGCAAAUAUUUUGCAUUAAAAAUUGUGAUAAUUCAAAUCAGGAUCCAUAUUUUUCAGAAAAUAAAAGGAUACCAUCCAAGGAACAGAAACCAGCCUGAUCCUGUGCCACUGCAACUUUGCCAUUUACUUUGUUGGCAUCAUAUUGUGGUGUUUUUUUUGCAGCUGGUCUUUGAAUGAAUUACCUAAAGGUCACCUAUAGGUGUCUUAGCAGAAUUUCUUUAGUUGCUUCCUGUGACAGUUUGAAAACUAAUGGUAAAUUGGGUUUAGAUGAGACAAGAGCAGCUAUGCCUCCAGGAAUAGUUCCUUUCUGUUCCUAAAGAAAAACUUUCUUUCUGUUCCUAGGAAAAAUGGCAUCAGAUUCAGAUGUCUUUCUCCCAUAAUAUUGUAUUGCCAAUACAAAAUAUUAAAUGAUUUAAAAAAUUAGUGUAUAAAUAUUUAGGGAGUUGGAUCUUUCCUCCAUUACAUUCUGCUUCUGUUUAAUUCUAGGAGUACUCACAGAGCUUCUUGAGACCAUCACUACUCAUAUUUGGGCUAAAUGUUAUUUGUGUGUUGUGUAGAUCUGGCUUAAAAAAAA